UAGAGUUUGAUCCAUGGCUCAGAAUGAACGCUGGCGGCGUGCCUAACACAUGCAAGUCGUACGAGAAAUCUCCUGCUUGCAGGAGAGAGUAAAGUGGCGCACGGGUGAGUAACACGUGGGUAAUCUACCUCUGAAUUUGGGAUAACGUUCCGAAAGGGAUGCUAAUACCGGAUAAUAUCCGAGAGCCUGAGGGCAUUCGGAUCAAAGGGGGCCUCUACAUGUAAGCUCCCGUUUAGAGAUGAGCCCGCGUACCAUUAGCUAGUUGGUAAGGUAACGGCUUACCAAGGCUACGAUGGUUAGCUGGUCUGAGAGGAUGACCAGCCACACUGGAACUGAGACACGGUCCAGACUCCUACGGGAGGCAGCAGUGAGGAAUCUUGCGCAAUGGGGGAAACCCUGACGCAGCAACGCCGCGUGAGUGAAGGAGGCCUUCGGGUCGUAAAGCUCUGUCGAGUGGGAAGAACCUAUUUCGUGCUAACAUCACGAAGUAAUGACGGACCACCAAAGAAGCACCG
Molecule: ribosomal RNA, 515 nt
Filed under: uncultured bacterium
Lineage: Bacteria
Description: bacterial SSU rRNA
Rfam family: Bacterial small subunit ribosomal RNA
Source: RNAcentral